RNAcentral lists this ribosomal RNA (468 nucleotides) under uncultured bacterium. RNAcentral's name for it is "partial 16S ribosomal RNA". It matches the Rfam family "Bacterial small subunit ribosomal RNA", at positions 28 to 507 of the family's 1533-position model. The record is from RNAcentral.
GACGAACGCUGGCGGCGUGCUUAACACAUGCGAGUCGAACGGAAAGGCCCUGCUUUUGUGGGGUGCUCGAGUGGCGAACGGGUGAGUAACACGUGAGUAACCUGCCCUUGACUUUGGGAUAACUUCAGGAAACUGGGGCUAAUACCGGAUAGGAGCUCCUGCUGCAUGGUGGGGGUUGGAAAGUUUCGGCGGUUGGGGAUGGACUCGCGGCUUAUCAGCUUGUUGGUGGGGUAGUGGCUUACCAAGGCUUUGACGGGUAGCCGGCCUGAGAGGGUGACCGGCCACAUUAGGACUGCGAUACGGCCCAGACUCCUACGGGAGGCAGCAGUGGGGAAUAUUGCACAAUGGGCGGAAGCCUGAUGCAGCAACGCCGCGUGCGGGAUGACGGCCUUCGGGUUGUAAACCGCUUUCGCCUGUGACGAAGCGUGAGUGACGGUAAUGGGUAAAGAAGCACCGGCUAACUACGUG